Molecule: ribosomal RNA, 429 nt
Filed under: uncultured Oxalobacteraceae bacterium
Lineage: Bacteria; Pseudomonadati; Pseudomonadota; Betaproteobacteria; Burkholderiales; Oxalobacteraceae
Description: bacterial SSU rRNA
Rfam family: Bacterial small subunit ribosomal RNA
Source: RNAcentral
UGGGGAAUUUUGGACAAUGGGGGAAACCCUGAUCCAGCAAUGCCGCGUGUGUGAAGAAGGCCUUCGGGUUGUAAAGCACUUUUGUCAGGAACGAAACGGUGGAGGCUAAUACCUUCUGCUAAUGACGGUACCUGAAGAAUAAGCACCGGCUAACUACGUGCCAGCAGCCGCGGUAAUACGUAGGGUGCAAGCGUUAAUCGGAAUUACUGGGCGUAAAGCGUGCGCAGGCGGUUGUGCAAGACAGAUGUGAAAUCCCCGGGCUUAACCUGGGAAUUGCAUUUGUGACUGCACGGCUAGAGUGUGUCAGAGGGGGGUAGAAUUCCACGUGUAGCAGUGAAAUGCGUAGAUAUGUGGAGGAAUACCGAUGGCGAAGGCAGCCCCCUGGGAUAACACUGACGCUCAUGCACGAAAGCGUGGGGAGCAAACAGG